This 961-nucleotide long non-coding RNA is filed under the name Rattus norvegicus (Norway rat). Its description in RNAcentral is "long non-coding RNA NONRATT013556". The record is from RNAcentral. Lineage: Eukaryota; Metazoa; Chordata; Mammalia; Rodentia; Muridae.
GGCGCAGCAUCUUGGGCGGAGGAAGGACAACCUUGUGGGUGUCAUUGGAGGGCAGUUCCCUCCCCCACCUCACCACCUCGUACUGGCGGAUCCUCCCUCUCUUUGAUUUGUCUCGCUUUCCUAUGCUCUGCUGGCUCCAAAUUCCGAGAGGACCUUCUGGCUUCUCUUUUUGUAGGUAAGGAAACCAGGGCUGGGAAAAUCUCGCUGACUCACCACAUUUGGAGGCCAAUCCCGAAUCGGUGGAACAACGCGCCUCCCGAGAGACCCAGGACUAGCCUCCAGCCCCGAAACAGCGGUUCUUCACGUGACAGUCACCCCAGGAGCCAGUUUCAUGGAACAAAUGCAGAGAAUCCCGAACCAGCCCCUCCCCACCCCUGCUUCUCAGUCCAAGAAGAGGAGGACACCACUGUCAUCUUUCUUUUCCAAGGUCUCUUGGAAACUGAGGUUGCAGAAGCGGGAACCUUUGAAGAAUCUGUUUUUCGUCUUGGCAGAAAGAGCCCGGGGUCCUAAUCCUAGAAAGCGCCAUCUAGCAAUGAGAGGCCUGGGUAUCUUGGCCCAUGAAGCUCCUGACAAGGUAGGGGAGGUGGGAUUCAGAUAGCCUUCCCAAGACUCUAAGCCAGUGUCUGUCCAUUGAAUAAGGAGACACAGGACCUUGGCAAUGACGUCUACCCUUUAAUGUACAACUCACGAUGGCUGUGGUCCACUCUGAUGGCGAUCCAAUGAUGGAGACCUGGCUCUGUGUUCUUGUUGAUGAAAACCCACAGGAGGAUGACAGCGUGCGCUACUCAGCCUUUGUCCUCUUUGGGCAGUUGGCUGCAUUUGCUGGGCGGAAAUGGAAGAAGUUCUUCACCCACCAGGUCAACCAGACCCAAGAUUCCCUCCUAAGCCAUUUGCAGGACGAAAGCCCUCAGGUUGCCAAGGCUUGCACAAUGGCUGUUCAAGCCUGUGUUCCAUACCUGAA